Molecule: long non-coding RNA, 992 nt
Organism: Numida meleagris (helmeted guineafowl)
Lineage: Eukaryota; Metazoa; Chordata; Aves; Galliformes; Numididae
Exons: 4
Source: RefSeq, a predicted model, not a curated record
GACAUGAUGAUCUUAGUUCUUUUCCAACCUUGACAAUUCCAUGAUUCCAAGACAAGGUUUGAAUUUGGAGUGGUCUUGCUUGGAGCCAGGAAUGUGACUUGAUGUUCCUUGGCAUUCCCUUCUGUUUUGGGAUAUUCUAUGAUGUGUGAUUCUCUGAUUCUCUGAUCAACAGCUGAGUAUUGCAGAGAGCUUACACCAAAACCUUGCCAAGCAAACCUAGAGCUUGUCUUGAGUGCCCAGAAGAAUUUUUCUGCUUGCGAAUACUGGGUGCAGCUCAGCCUUGGGCAGCCAUGGCAGCCACUGUGAAUCAAAGUGAUGUCAGCAUCACAUCACAGUCAUUGCCCUGAUGUAGUGGGCUUCAGGUCUCUCUUUGCCUGCACGGCAGAGAGCAAGCAGCUGAAGAGCGUGGCAGUUGAGCUGCGAGAAGGAGAAGGGAGAGGACGACUGCCACUGAGCCCAGACCUGUGAAGAUGCUCAGGCUGCUAGUCAAGUGGUUCCUCAUCGUUCAGCUGCAGACAGUCAUGCAAAUGCUGGGCUUCCACACUUUUCAGAGGCAAUUCUGUUCUUCAGUUCUGGUAGUUGCCUUGUCCUGGCGGAGGCUGGUGCCGCAGAGGAGCGCUGUGAGAAGGAGCUUGCGGAGAAGCACGGUCCAGAAGGGAACUGUGCAGAAGCCCGUGAGGAGGUCGAUGAGGAUUGCGAGAAAUCAAGAGAGAUUGAGACAGCAGAUUCUGCACCGUUGGCUGCCCUGUGGCUGCAGGUUGCAUGUGGUGGAUAGAAGAGACUGCAUCCUAUGUGGGCAGCAGCAUCCCCUCUCCCUGCUGCCAGCCCAGCGGUCAUGUGCACUGCGCAGUGUGAGGCGUGUCCAUUUUGGGGACAAUAAUGGAAGAUAAUGUAUAGAGAGAGGAACGGCUGUAAGCAGCAGGUCAGCGGUGAGCCCAGACUUCACAGGAUAAAACACAAAACAUCUCCCUAAAAAACAUCUCACCUAAAAA